UCGUAGGUGAACCUGCGGAAGGAUCAUUACAGAAUGAAAGUGCUUAACUGCAUUUUUUUUAACAUGUGUUUUUCUUUUUUUUUGAAAACUUUGCUUUGGUGGGCCCAUGGCCUGCCAGAGAUUAAACUCAACCAAAUUUUUAUUUAAGUCAACUGAUUAACUAAUAGUCAAAACUUUCAACAACGGAUCUCUUGGUUCUCGCAUCGAUGAAGAACGCAGCGAAAUGCGAUAAGUAAUAUGAAUUGCAGAUAUUCGUGAAUCAUCGAAUCUUUGAACGCACAUUGCGCCCUUUGGUAUUCCAAAGGGCAUGCCUGUUUGAGCGUCAUUUCUCCCUCAAACCUUCGGGUUUGGUGUUGAGCGAUACGCUGGGUUUGCUUGAAAGAAAGGCGGAGUAUAAACUAAUGGAUAGGUUUUUUUUCCACUCAUUGGUACAAACUCCAAAAUUCUUCCAAAUUCGACCUCAAAUCAGGUAGGACUACCCGCUGAACUUAAGCAUAUCAAUAAGUCGGAGGAA
RNAcentral lists this ribosomal RNA (514 nucleotides) under Lodderomyces orthopsilosis. Its description in RNAcentral is "eukaryotic LSU rRNA". The stretch from base 172 to 325 matches the Rfam family "5.8S ribosomal RNA". Lineage: Eukaryota; Fungi; Ascomycota; Pichiomycetes; Serinales; Debaryomycetaceae. The record is from RNAcentral.